GUCCCGGUGACGGCGGCGCGUCCGCGCGCCCGGGGUCCCGGGAGGGUGGGGCGGCCCGCGGCCGGGCUGGCGGGGGCUCCGGGGCCAGCCCCGCCCCCGGACCCUGAUGCGCGCUGAGCGACUCGGCGGGGUCCGGUCGGGGGUGGGGUUCUGCAGCCGGCUGCCCCCUCCCGGGCCUGAGACUGGGUUCCCGGAAGGCCGGCGCGGCGUUAGACGCUCAGUGCAUGUUCAGCGCGCCAGUGAACGGAGGGAGAAUUAACGCAUUACUAGAAUAUUCGGGGAGUGUGGUUUCCGGUUUCUUAUUAUAUCACCUGCUCUAAAACACUGUUGGGCCCAUGCGAAGCACUGAGUCUAUGUGUGACUAUUGCUCUGAUGGCCAGUUUCAAGCUGCCGACCUUGGGCAUCUGAAGCAAUGUGAAAUGUCUUGAAUGCAGAGUUGGGAACAGCAUUCCCACCGUAUGGGUACAACAGACGGUGAUGGACAUCCCACCUGUCACUCCCAGGAUCCCGCGAUGGCUGGAGACAGAGACUCUUCCGCUGGCCUCGCAGGAGGGAACAGCCAUGUUGUGAAAGCCCCUGGAGAGGGGCGCUUGGCCCGGGACUGCAGAGGCCUCUGGGACCUGAGGGCAACCAACAGCCCAGGAGAAACCAGGCCGACACCUGGACUGUGGCCACGCGGGACCUUGAGCAGAGGACCCGCUGAGCCGCACCCGGACGCCUGCCCUGCAGACCCCGAGGCAGUGACAGCUGAGCUGACCAAGGCACUCCCCUCACUGACCGCUGCUCUGUCACCUCUGAAAACGUGUCGUCUAACACUUCAGAGCUCUGGUGAGAUCGCCAUUGGCCGUGUCAUCAUGUCCCCUCUGCGCUGCACCCCAGAUAUGCUCAGGGCCCAGCUCGGCCUCCACGGAGGCUGCCACGCUCCUGGCUUGAAUUUGCACGGAUGCUCCCACCCUGAGGGGCGCUCAGCAGUCGUCAGAUGCAUGAAAGGAUGGGGCUUAGGGCCUGAGGAGGGGAACCCCCAGGACAACCUUCUGAUUACCCCCCCAUUCAACCUCGGGGACAAAUGCAGCCCCAGGAACCAUCCAGCCGAUGUGGGAUCUGUGUGGGCAUGGUUUCCAGGCCCAGCGGACUGGCUCGCUCUCCUUCCUGUUUAGCUGUGCCUCGUCACCUGCCUCUCACUACCCAAGCCCGCCUCGCUCCUGUGCAGUCACAGGAGCCCCGCUCGGCCUGCCCAGGGCUUAGCCAAGCCUGGCUCAUGGCUGUGUCCCCGCCCCCAGGUCUGCACCUAUCUCCUGGGCACACCAGCCUGGCAGCCAGGCUCCUUUGGUGGAGGAGCCCUGCUUCCACCCUGCUCCUGGGGGUCUGCACAUCACUGGCCCUGCCCCUGCGCUUUGCUCUGCGGGAUUUCACGAGAGAGAACCAGGCCUCUGGGCCCCAGCAUUCUGUGGCCCCUGGUGCUCAGCUGAUGGGCAGGCUGCCGAGAGGGGAGCCUGAUGCACCCUGCGCUGCCCGGCUGCGGGGCCAAAUCUGUCCGUGAGGCUGGCCCGGCAAAGGCAAAAGGGGGCAGCUGCCCCCGUGGGACCCCCAGCCCGUUUUCUGCAAACAAAGGCCCGGCAGCCCGGAGCCCACGCUGCAACUCUGUUGAAACCUCGAGGUGGCUCCCUAUUAACCACUCCUUUUGGUGCUUCCAACACCAAAAAAGGAGUAAAGCAAACCUCUUUCUAAGCAGGAAGAGCUUUCCAGAGCAGAGGGUGUCCCCCAGCCCCCCUGCCGCUGGAGCACUGACAAGGCCCUGGGCCUCCCAGACUCACACAGCUGGGAGCUGCCUGGCGCAGGGUCUGGACCAGAGGCAGGGCAGCCAGCAAGGGGUCCUGCCUGCACGCAGCCCCUGCCUGCACGCAGCCCCUGCCUGGUUUUAUCUUAGAAACCGACAAGACCCAAUUAAAUGAUUUCUUUUUAAAGUAGACACAUACUAGGAGGAUAGGAAGGAUAAAACCAAAGCUCCCACCUCCUCUCUUUCUCCGAGGUGCAACCUCAAAUCCCAGCUCCUUUGUCUGCUCUUUCCGGCGUUGCUGCUCUGCAUUAACCAGUAACCAAUGCAGCAUUACCAUCCGUCUAUCCGUAGGAAGUCUGCUUGCUCUUGUUAAACAGGAGGCACAGGCCAGAACACCAGGCGGGCAUUUUCCCCAGCAAGUCCUGUCUCCCCGGGGACCAGGCGUCUUAUCUCUGGGCCCAUGUCUGGCUUUUCCUGCUGCAGAGAAAUGGCCUUUUUAUCCAGAUGCCGUGGCUCCUUAUCAGGCAGGAGUAACAGUCCUAGGUGUUUACGCCUCUGAGUGCAAACACGUUUGUUUUCAUUAAAAUUUAAUUUUAAAGGAAAGGGGAAAAUGUUGGCUCAAAGAGCACUGGCAUUUCAUCCACUUAGAUUUGCGGGCAGAAGUCCAUCCAAGCCAGCACAGAGCAUUCGCUUGGAAAAUUGGAUGAAGAAAGAGACAGCAGUUCACUGAAAAAGCUUCAUCCGUGGCCUGGCCAGGCAGAGGCGUGACUCAGAGUACAGACCUGGGCCUGCCCAGCAGGCAUCUUCCCUCUGCGGUCUAGUCUCACCUGGAGAGAGGCCUUGGGUGCUAAGCACAGAGGCUUCCCGUAGGCAGUCCUUGUCCUUCGCUGAGCCCCUGCUGAGACCUGGGUUCUGCCCAGCGGGGGUCGUUUUCCCACCUGACAGGUGAGAACACCGAGGCUCCCGGGGACCCGCGGCAAGCCCAGUCCAGUCCGAGGACAGGCCACUUCGCGUAGACCUGGGGUUUAAGCCCAGGUCUGUCUUGCUCCAGAGCCCAUGCUCGUUGCCCUGAAGUUGGCCCCUUGAGUGACAGAAGAGAGCACGGUGGCAGGGAUGGUUUCCCAGGAGCCGCACAGGGGACACGGGGACACAGCCCCACGGCACGCGAUCGAGGCAGUGCCUCAACUCAAGAGAGUAGACGCCCUUCUCACGAAGAAACCUGAGAAACAAAGGAUGCGUCGGUUUGCGAUCAGCAGCAGCUGCUCCUUCCUUAGAGGUUAACUGAGCUAAACGACUAGAAUUCAUCGUCAUGGGUGUGUGGGUGGUCUAGGCUGGCGUGAGCUGUAAUCACCUAGUGGGGGGGCACAUUGUGACUGUGGUAAAAAGUGCUCUGGGAGCAUUGCUAUUGUGAGAUUUUUUUUUUAAUUAAAGAAAAUGACCCUCUAAUUGAAGAGGAAGGGAUAAAUUGGGAGUUCGAGAUUUGCGGAUACUGACUGGUGUAUAUAAACUAGAUAAACAAGUUUAUACUGUACAGCACAGGGAACUGUAUUCAAUAUCUUGGAGCAGCUUACGGUGAAAACGCACGAAAACGAACAUAUGUAUGUUCACGUAUGACUGAAGCCUUGUGCUGUACACCAGAAAAUGACACGUUGUACGCUGACUA
Molecule: long non-coding RNA, 3440 nt
Organism: Camelus dromedarius (Arabian camel)
Lineage: Eukaryota; Metazoa; Chordata; Mammalia; Artiodactyla; Camelidae
Exons: 4
Source: RefSeq, a predicted model, not a curated record